This 496-nucleotide ribosomal RNA is filed under the name uncultured bacterium. RNAcentral's name for it is "partial 16S ribosomal RNA". It matches the Rfam family "Bacterial small subunit ribosomal RNA", at positions 28 to 506 of the family's 1533-position model. The record is from RNAcentral.
GAUGAACGCUGGCGGCGUGCCUAAUACAUGCAAGUCGAGCGAACAGACGAGGAGCUUGCUCCUCUGACGUUAGCGGCGGACGGGUGAGUAACACGUGGAUAACCUACCUAUAAGACUGGGAUAACUUCGGGAAACCGGAGCUAUUACCGGAUAAAAUUUUAAACCGAAGGGUCCAAUAGUGAAAGACGGUUUUGCUGUCACUUAUGGUUGGUCCCCCGCCGAAUUAGCUAGUUGGGAAGUGAAGGGCUUACAAGGGCGCCGAUCCGUAGCCGACCUGGGAGGGGGACCGGCCCACCGGGAACGGGGCCACGGCCCAACCCCCCAGGGGGGGCAGAGGUGGGGAAUCUUCCGAAAUGGGGGAAACCCUGACGGAACAACGCCGGGGGGGUGAUGAAGGUUUUGGGAUGGUAAAACCCUUUUUUUAGGAAAAAAAAAAUGUGAAAGUAACUUUGCACGUUUUGACGGUACCAAAUCAAAAAGCCACGGCUAACUACGU